Molecule: ribosomal RNA, 292 nt
Filed under: uncultured bacterium
Lineage: Bacteria
Description: partial 16S ribosomal RNA
Source: RNAcentral
GGACUACUAGGGUAUCUAAUCCCGUUCGCUCCCCUAGCUUUCGCACCUCAGCGUCAGUCACUCGCCAGGACACUGCCUUCGCCUUCGGUGUUCCUCCGGAUCUCUACGCAUUUCACCACUCCACCCGGAAUUCCGUGUCCCUCUCGAGCCCUCAAGUCGAACCGUCUUUUGUAUCCUCGGGCAGUUAAGCCACCCGCUGUCACACAAAACGCGUCCGACCGCCUGCAUGCCCUUUACGCCCAGUAACUCCGGACAACGCUCGCCCCCUACGUAUUACCGCGGCUGCUGGCAC